CAGUGGGGAAUAUUGCACAAUGGGCGAAAGCCUGAUGCAGCGACGCCGCGUGAGGGAUGGAGGCCUUCGGGUUGUAAACCUCUUUCGGCAGGGAAGAAGCGUUAAGUGACGGUACCUGCAGAAGAAGCGCCGGCUAACUACGUGCCAGCAGCCGCGGUAAUACGUAGGGCGCAAGCGUUGUCCGGAAUUAUUGGGCGUAAAGAGCUCGUAGGUGGUUUGUCGCGUCUGGUGUGAAAUCCCGGGGCUUAACUUCGGGCGUGCAUCGGGUACGGGCAGGCUAGAGUGCGGUAGGGGAGACUGGAAUUCCUGGUGUAGCGGUGGAAUGCGCAGAUAUCAGGAGGAACACCGAUGGCGAAGGCAGGUCUCUGGGCCGCAACUGACGCUGAGGAGCGAAAGCAUGGGGAGCGAACAGGAUUAGAUACCCUGGUAGUCCAUGCCGUAAACGUUGGGCACUAGGUGUGGGGCCUAUUCCACGGGUUCCGUGCCGUAGCUAACGCA
RNAcentral lists this ribosomal RNA (498 nucleotides) under uncultured bacterium. Its description in RNAcentral is "bacterial SSU rRNA". It matches the Rfam family "Bacterial small subunit ribosomal RNA", at positions 352 to 859 of the family's 1533-position model. The record is from RNAcentral.